This 116-nucleotide small nuclear RNA is filed under the name Oryctolagus cuniculus (rabbit). RNAcentral's name for it is "U1 spliceosomal RNA (ENSOCUG00000028370.1)". It matches the Rfam family "U1 spliceosomal RNA". Rfam says of the family: U1 is a small nuclear RNA (snRNA) component of the spliceosome (involved in pre-mRNA splicing). Its 5' end forms complementary base pairs with the 5' splice junction, thus defining the 5' donor site of an intron. There are significant differences in sequence and secondary structure between metazoan and yeast U1 snRNAs, the latter being much longer (568 nucleotides as compared to 164 nucleotides in human). The record is from RNAcentral. Lineage: Eukaryota; Metazoa; Chordata; Mammalia; Lagomorpha; Leporidae.
AUACUUACCUGGCAGGGGAGAUACCAUGAUCUUGUAGGUGGUUUUCCCAGAGCAAGGCUUAUCCCAUUGUACUCCUGAAUUUGUCAUAGUGGGGGAAAGGUUUGCACUCUUCCCUA